GUGUGUGUGUGGUGUGUGUUGUGUGUGUGUGUGUGUGUGUGUGGUGUGAGAGAGAGAGAGAGAGAGAGAGAGAGAGCGCGGUACUGAGAUCUGUCCUUCCUGUGAGCAGGUGUGAUGCAGUGUGUGUGAGAGUGUGUGUGAGAGUGUGUGUGAGAGUGUGUGUGAGAGUGUGUGUGAGAGUGUGUGUGAGAGUGUGUGUGAGAGUGUGUGAGAGAGUGUGUGAGAGAGUGUGUGAGAGAGUGUGUGUGAGAGUGUGAGUGAGUGUGAUUGAGUGUGCUACUGAGAUCCUGUCCUUCCUGUGAGCAGGUGUGAUGCAGUAUGUGUGAGAGUGUGUGUGAGAGUGUGUGUGAGAGUGUGUGUGAGAGUGUGUGUGAGAGUGUGUGUGAGAGUGUGUGAGAGAGUGUGGUACUGAGAUCCUGUCCUUCCUGUGAGUGUGUGAGUGAGUGAGUGAGUGUGUGUGUGU
Long non-coding RNA from Ictalurus punctatus (channel catfish), 463 nucleotides. The record is from Ensembl. NCBI's taxonomy places the organism in Eukaryota, Metazoa, Chordata, Actinopteri, Siluriformes, Ictaluridae.